Non-coding RNA from Gasterosteus aculeatus aculeatus (three-spined stickleback), 730 nucleotides. NCBI's taxonomy places the organism in Eukaryota, Metazoa, Chordata, Actinopteri, Perciformes, Gasterosteidae. The record is from RefSeq and is a predicted model, not a curated record.
UUGGCGCGGUUUGUUGGGUUGGUUGGCACGGUUGGUUGGCGCGGUUUGUUGGGUUGGUUGGCGCGGUUGGUUCGACGAGCUGAAUCCCAGAAGUUUGCACUUGACAGCAACAAUCUGAAAGCAGGUCGGACAAGCAUCUUCUCCUGAACGUCAGCACUUCAGGACAAUGUUUGUGGAGGAGAAGGUGAUAAUGUGGGUGUGGUGGGACAUGAGGGCGGAGGAGAAGGGGAUGCUGAGGUGGAGGUGGACCUGAAGGAGGUUAGAGGAGGAGAAGGGGAUGCUGAGGUGGAGGUGGGACCUGAAGGAGGUUAGAGGAGGAGAAGGGGAUGCUGAGGUGGAGGUUGGACCUGAAGGAGGUUAGCGGAGGAGAAGGGGAUGCCCAGGUGGAGGUUGGACCUGAAGGAGGUUAGAGGAGGAGAAGGGGAUGCUGAGAUGGAGGUGGGACCUGAAGGAGGUUAGAGGAGGAGAAGGGGAUGCCCAGGUGGAGGUGGGACCUGAAGGAGGUUAGCGGAGGAGAAAGGGAUGCCCAGGUGGAGGUUGGACCUGAAGGAGGUUAGCGGAGGAGAAGGGGAUGCUGAGGAGGAGAAGGGGAUGCCCAGGUGGAGGUUGGACCUGAAGGAGGUUAGCGGAGGAGAAGGGGAUGCUCAGGUGGAGGUUGGACCUGAAGGAGGUUAGAGGAGGAGAAGGGGAUGCUGAGGUGGAUGUUGGACCUGAGGACUUCUGGUUCUGC